This 468-nucleotide ribosomal RNA is filed under the name uncultured bacterium. Its description in RNAcentral is "partial 16S ribosomal RNA". It matches the Rfam family "Bacterial small subunit ribosomal RNA", at positions 28 to 507 of the family's 1533-position model. The record is from RNAcentral.
GACGAACGCUGGCGGCGUGCUUAACACAUGCAAGUCGAACGGAAAGGCCCUGCUUUUGUGGGGUGCUCGAGUGGCGAACGGGUGAGUAACACGUGAGUAACCUGCCCUUGACUUUGGGAUAACUUCAGGAAACUGGGGCUAAUACCGGAUAGGAGCUCCUGCUGCAUGGUGGGGGUUGGAAAGUUUCGGCGGUUGGGGAUGGACUCGCGGCUUAUCAGCUCGUUGGUGGGGUAGUGGCUUGCCAAGGCUUUGACGGGUAGCCGGCCUGAGAGGGUGACCGGCCACAUUGGGACUGAGAUACGGCCCAGACUCCUACGGGAGGCAGCAGUGGGGAAUAUUGCACAAUGGGCGGAAGCCUGAUGCAGCAACGCCGCGUGCGGGAUGACGGCCUUCGGGUUGUAAACCGCUUUCGCCUGUGACGAAGCGUGAGUGACGGUAAUGGGUAAAGAAGCACCGGCUAACUACGUG